Molecule: ribosomal RNA, 467 nt
Filed under: uncultured bacterium
Lineage: Bacteria
Description: partial 16S ribosomal RNA
Rfam family: Bacterial small subunit ribosomal RNA
Source: RNAcentral
GAUGAACGCUGGCGGCGUGCUUAACACAUGCAAGUCGAACGGAAAGGCCCAAGCUUGCUUGGGUACUCGAGUGGCGAACGGGUGAGUAACACGUGGGUGAUCUGCCCUGCACUUCGGGAUAAGCCUGGGAAACUGGGUCUAAUACCGGAUAGGACCACAUUUUGGAUGGUGUGGUGGAAAGUUUUUCGGUGUGGGAUGAGCUCGCGGCCUAUCAGCUUGUUGGUGGGGUAAUGGCCUACCAAGGCGUCGACGGGUAGCCGGCCUGAGAGGGUGUACGGCCACAUUGGGACUGAGAUACGGCCCGGACUCCUACGGGGGGCAGCAGUGGGGAAUAUUGCACAAUGGGCGCAAGCCUGAUGCAGCGACGCCGCGUGGGGGAUGACGGCCUUCGGGUUGUAAACUCCUUUCGCUAGGGACGAAGCGUUUUUGUGACGGUACCUGGAGAAGAAGCACCGGCUAACUACGUG